RNAcentral lists this long non-coding RNA (699 nucleotides) under Anas platyrhynchos platyrhynchos (common mallard). RNAcentral describes it as "lncRNA (ENSAPLG00000021547.1)". Lineage: Eukaryota; Metazoa; Chordata; Aves; Anseriformes; Anatidae. The record is from RNAcentral.
CCUUGAAGACUAAGCAAUCCAACAAGAAAAUAUUAUUGGUCAUGAGGCAGCGCUUGAUCACCAACAAAUCACAUUAACAGAUUGUACUGUUAAAUGGAAGCCUGCAUGGUGAUGCCUGUUAAUCACUGUCAUCUACAAGCUUGAUGGAAUUAUGGAAUGUAUGUCUCUAAUGCAACUUUUGAAACACGAGGAUAGUCUGAACAAAUGAGGAGGUGCAAAGCAAACAAACUAAUCCAGAGCUACCACAAGGUGGGGUUAGGUCAUUUACGAUCUGACCAGUCCACAAGGACUGAAGUGCUCCAGAGCUGCCCUGGUCCCCAGCUGCCAGAGUCCACCUGGCAGCUAAACAAGCAGUGGGCUCCUCCUCUCCUGGAGACAAACCCGGUCCUCAGGCUCACUCCCCAGCUAAGACAUCUGUAUCCUGAAAAUAGGCUGAAGAUUUCUUAUUAUGUUGUUUCUCUGGCUGUUUGUGUAAGUAAAUCUUGUAGUCAGGCAAUGCAUGAACAGUUUGGCACAUAUAAUUUUCUCAAUGUAUUCAGAUGUAGUGCCCUGAAUACUAAGCAUUGUGCUCUCAUCAGUGGAAAUGCCUGAUUGUGAAUGUUGUGUUGCUUUUUUUUUUUUUUUUCUCUUGGCAGUUGGGGUUAUAUGUAAAUUUUGCACUUAUGUGUACAUUUCAAAUAAACUGGUGUUUUUAAAUCA